GUCUUCGUGGUGUAGUGGUCAGCACGCUCGACGCGUAACCGAGAGGUCCGUGGUUCGAUUCCCGGUGAAGGCG
Molecule: non-coding RNA, 73 nt
Organism: Stegodyphus mimosarum
Lineage: Eukaryota; Metazoa; Arthropoda; Arachnida; Araneae; Eresidae
Source: Rfam